CCUACGGGUGGCAGCAGUGAGGAAUAUUGGUCAAUGGGCGGGAGCCUGAACCAGCCAAGUCGCGUGAGGGACGACGGUCCUAUGGAUUGUAAACCUCUUUUGUCGGGGAACAAAGGCGCCCACGGGUGGGCGGAUGAGUGUACCCGAAGAAAAAGCAUCGGCUAACUCCGUGCCAGCAGCCGCGGUAAUACGGAGGAUGCGAGCGUUAUCCGGAUUUAUUGGGUUUAAAGGGAGCGUAGACGGCUGUGCAAGUCUGAAGUGAAAGCCCAGGGCUCAACCCUGGGACUGCUUUGGAAACUGUGGAGCUAGAGUGCUGGAGAGGUAAGUGGAAUUCCUAGUGUAGCGGUGAAAUGCGUAGAUAUUAGGAGGAACACCAGUGGCGAAGGCGGCUUACUGGACAGUAACUGACGUUGAGGCUCGAAAGCGUGGGGAGCAAACAGGAUUAGAUACCCGGGUAGUC
This 460-nucleotide ribosomal RNA is filed under the name uncultured bacterium. RNAcentral's name for it is "partial 16S ribosomal RNA". It matches the Rfam family "Bacterial small subunit ribosomal RNA", at positions 338 to 795 of the family's 1533-position model. The record is from RNAcentral.